UACGUAGGGAGCAAGCGUUGUCCGGAAUUAUUGGGCGUAAAGGGCGCGUAGGCGGCCUGGCAAGUGGAAGGUGAAAUCCCUCGGCUUAACCGAGGAACUGCCCUCCAAACUGCUUGGCUUGAGUCCGGGAGAGGUGAGUGGAAUUCCCAGUGUAGCGGUGAAAUGCGUAGAUAUUGGGAGGAACACCAGUGGCGAAGGCGGCGCACUGGACCAUAACUGACGCUGAUGCGCGAAAGCUAGGGGAGCAAACAGG
Molecule: ribosomal RNA, 253 nt
Filed under: uncultured bacterium
Lineage: Bacteria
Description: partial 16S ribosomal RNA
Rfam family: Bacterial small subunit ribosomal RNA
Source: RNAcentral